UUGUCUCAAAGAUUAAGCCAUGCAUGUCUCAGUACAAGCCAAAUUAAGGUGAAACCGCGAAAGGCUCAUUAAAUCAGUUAUGGUUCCUUAGAUCGUACACACAUUUACUUGGAUAACUGUGGUAAUUCUAGAGCUAAUACAUGCAAACAGAGCUCCGAACCAGAGAUGGAAGGAGCGCUUUUAUUAGAUCAAAACCAAUCGGUGGCGAGUGAAAGCUCGUCAUCGUACAAUUUGGUGACUCUGAAUAACUUUAUGCUGAUCGCAUGGUCUUUGCACCGGCGACGCAUCUUUCAAAUGUCUGCCUUAUCAACUGUCGAUGGUAGGUUCUGCGCCUACCAUGGUUGUAACGGGUAACGGGGAAUCAGGGUUCGAUUCCGGAGAGGGAGCCUGAGAAACGGCUACCACAUCCAAGGAAGGCAGCAGGCGCGCAAAUUACCCACUCCCGGCACGGGGAGGUAGUGACGAAAAAUAACGAUACAAGACUCAUCCGAGGCCUUGUAAUCGGAAUGAGUACACUCUAAAGCCUUUAACGAGGAUCAAUUGGAGGGCAAGUCUGGUGCCAGCAGCCGCGGUAAUUCCAGCUCCAAUAGCGUAUAUUAAAGUUGUUGCGGUUAAAAAGCUCGUAGUCGAAUCUGUGUUCCACGCCGCCGGUUCAUCGUCCGCGGUGUUAACUGGCGUGCCGUGGAACGUCCUGCCGGUGGGCUUAGCUCGCAAGGGCGGCCCAAUUUAAUCCUGUCGCGGUGCUCUUCAUUGAGUGUCGAGAUGGGCCGGCACGUUUACUUUGAACAAAUUAGAGUGCUUAAAGCAGGCUAAAAUUUUGCCUGAAUAUUGUGUGCAUGGAAUAAUGGAAUAGGACCUCGGUUCUAUUUUGUUGGUUUUCGGAACCCCGAGGUAAUGAUUAAUAGGAACGGAUGGGGGCAUUCGUAUUGCGACGUUAGAGGUGAAAUUCUUGGAUCGUCGCAAGACGGACAGAAGCGAAAGCAUUUGCCAAAAACGUUUUCAUUGAUCAAGAACGAAAGUUAGAGGUUCGAAGGCGAUCAGAUACCGCCCUAGUUCUAACCAUAAACGAUGCCAGCUAGCGAUCCGCCGACGUUCCUCCGAUGACUCGGCGGGCAGCUUCCGGGAAACCAAAGCUUUUGGGUUCCGGGGGAAGUAUGGUUGCAAAGCUGAAACUUAAAGGAAUUGACGGAAGGGCACCACCAGGAGUGGAGCCUGCGGCUUAAUUUGACUCAACACGGGAAACCUCACCAGGCCCGGACACCGGAAGGAUUGACAGAUUGAGAGCUCUUUCUUGAUUCGGUGGGUGGUGGUGCAUGGCCGUUCUUAGUUGGUGGAGCGAUUUGUCUGGUUAAUUCCGAUAACGAACGAGACUCUAGCCUGCUAAAUAGGCGUAUUUCGACAUCCCAAAGGCUCACCCUCGUGCUAUGUUGGCGCAUGUGGUCUUCACGGGCUAUGUGUGUUGGCUGGUGCGUUGGGCGCGGUUUUUACUGUCGGCGUAUUAACUAAUCUUCUUAGAGGGACAGGCGGCUUCUAGCCGCACGAGAUUGAGCAAUAACAGGUCUGUGAUGCCCUUAUAUGUUCUGGGCCGCACGCGCGCUACACUGAAGGAAUCAGCGUGUCCUCCCUGACCGAACGGUCCGGGUAACCCGCUGAACCUCCUUCGUGCUAGGGAUUGGGGCUUGCAAUUGUUCCCCAUGAACGAGGAAUUCCCAGUAAGCGUGAGUCAUAAGCUCGCGUUGAUUACGUCCCUGCCCUUUGUACACACCGCCCGUCGCUACUACCGAUUGAAUGAUUUAGUGAGGUCUUCGGACUGGUACGCGUUGGCGCUCCGGCGUUGACGAUGUUGCUGGGAAGAUGACCAAACUUGAUCAUUU
This 1874-nucleotide ribosomal RNA is filed under the name Silvanus sp. UPOL 002045. RNAcentral's name for it is "SSU rRNA". It matches the Rfam family "Eukaryotic small subunit ribosomal RNA". The record is from RNAcentral. Lineage: Eukaryota; Metazoa; Arthropoda; Insecta; Coleoptera; Silvanidae.